AUUGAACGCUGGCGGCAUGCCUUACACAUGCAAGUCGAACGGCAGCACGGGAGCUUGCUCCUGGUGGCGAGUGGCGAACGGGUGAGUAAUACAUCGGAACGUACCCUGAAGUGGGGGAUAACGUAGCGAAAGUUACGCUAAUACCGCAUAUUCUGUGAGCAGGAAAGAGGGGGAUCGCAAGACCUCUUGCUUUAGGAGCGGCCGAUGUCGGAUUAGCUAGUUGGUGAGGUAAAGGCUCACCAAGGCGACGAUCCGUAGCGGGUCUGAGAGGAUGAUCCGCCACACUGGGACUGAGACACGGCCCAGACCCCUACGGGAGGCAGCAGUGGGGAAUUUUGGACAAUGGGCGCAAGCCUGAUCCAGCCAUGCCGCGUGAGUGAAGAAGGCCUUCGGUUGGUAAGUACGU
This 406-nucleotide ribosomal RNA is filed under the name uncultured bacterium. Its description in RNAcentral is "bacterial SSU rRNA". It matches the Rfam family "Bacterial small subunit ribosomal RNA", at positions 30 to 435 of the family's 1533-position model. The record is from RNAcentral.